Molecule: long non-coding RNA, 2016 nt
Organism: Saimiri boliviensis boliviensis (Bolivian squirrel monkey)
Lineage: Eukaryota; Metazoa; Chordata; Mammalia; Primates; Cebidae
Source: RefSeq, a predicted model, not a curated record
CCCAGCCCCGGCCCCGGCACCCACCUCGCUGCCUGCAGGCGCUGACCAAGCCCUUCCCACCACAGACUCCAGAGCUCAGGGAGACGUGGGCACCCUCAGGCCCAGCCCGACCCUUCCCUGCACCCACCUCUGUGGCAACAGCGUCCCUGCUCCGAAUGCAGCGCCUCGGGCCGGCGCUGGCUGUUUCUGGAGAAAACUUUCUGGAAGGCCUGUUGUCAGGUAGGUGGUGAGAACGCGUGACCCCCCUCAAAGCCUGCCCUCUGCCUAGGCCCUGCCCCGGGCUGACGGCCCGAGGACGCCCCACGCUCCGAGCUCACACGCCACGCCCAGGAGAUGCAGCCUGUGGGCCCAAGAUGGCUCCGAAUCGGAAACCCAGCCGCGACCGAGCAGGGGCCCACCUUUCCCGGGAGGGGAAGGACCCGCUGGGCCUGUGUCUGCGGUGACCGGAGCUCCCUGGACGCUAGUAAGGCUGGCCACUGCCCGUCUGUCACCUGCACCCUUGCCCCGAGUCAGCCACGGAGGGGCCGGGCCAGGCCUCCCCUGCAGGGAGCAGCCUCCGGGAGCCGGGCCACCACCCGCCCUUACCUGCCCCGACAGGUUCUGCCGCUGAGGACGCUCCCGCCCAGCCCUGCAGCCCGCGCCUCCCCCGACGCCCGGGUGGGUGUGAACCGGCUUCGGAAGGGAUGAGAGACCCAAGUCCCCGUCCGUCCCCAUCGAAGGAGCCGGGCGCGGCCUCAGCGUGUCACCAGCCAGGGUCCAGACUUGGGGUGUCGGGGUUGGGGGGAGACCUGGCGGCCACCCGGCAAAGAUGAGUUUCCUACCUCCCCUUCAGGGAAAAGCCGGUUUGGACCUGCACAGGUGGACAACUCGCCCGUCUCGGGGAGAGUGUGGAGGGCGAGGGGACACUGGAGGCGGCUGCGAGGUGGGGGCCUCGAGAGGGGAGAGCCGCCUCCCGCGCGCCUUACAAGGAGCCGCGCUCCCCGCCCCGCACAGGUGCGGGCUCCCGCCGGCCAAUCUGCGCUCCUGGCUCCCGACAGGUCCCGGAGCGGUUCUUCCUGGGUCCCUGCUGGUCUGCAGGAGGCUGGAGGCAGCUCUGACUGAGGGAGAGAGAGCGUGCAGGUGAGGCCGUGCCCAGGGACGCUUCACAGAGCCGUGGCUCCCUCCACGGCCUGCCACCUCGGACGCAGACUGAGGCCCCAUGGAUGACGGUGGCCCCUGAGUGCCUGCGGCUGGAUUAAGCCCAGGUGACGUCUGCCCUCCGACCUCAAAGGUUAAACCACCCAGGGCUCACCCCUGUCAUCCCAGCGCUUCAGGAGGUGGCGUCCGAAGGUUCACUGGAGCCCAGGAGUUCAAGACCGGCCUGGGCAACAUGGUGAGACCCCGUCUCUACAAAAAAUGUAAAAAUUAGCCGGCUGUGAUGGUGCAGGCCUGUGGGCCCCCUGUGGGAGGACUGCUUGAGCCUGGGAGGCGGAGGCCACCGUGAACCGAGAUCUCACCGCCACACUCCAGCCUGGGCGACAGUCAGACCCUGUUUCAAAAGAGAAAACACGAAGGUAAAAGGCCUGAGUUUUCUGCGGGAGGUUAGUAAGCGUCUCUGCCUGGAACCGGUGAAACAGCGAGAGAGCAACUGGCCGGCCCUGGGGAGAGGGAGCCCCCGGCCCUGUCCGUGGCUCCUCCGGCCUGGGCAGCUGUCCUGGCCCAGGAGCCGCCGAGUUCAGCCCUGAGCAGCCCGGGGCCCUUGACCCUCGCUACUGUGGACGUGGAGAGUGGCGGGCACUGGGCGGGCCCCUGUCACCCAUAAUAAACCCCCCUGGGCCGCUCCCUGGCUUUGAGGAGGAAUAUUUUCGUCUGGCUGAACACCUGCCUCCCGGCCUCCUGGUGACACCCCAGCCCCACACCGUCCUGCCUGAUUCCGGAGUAGCAUGAAAACGGCCUGCAUCGGCCGUGGGGACGGAGCGGCCGGACUUGUGCACACUCUCACCUGCUUUUUAUUUUUCUCAGACGGAGUCUUGGUCU